AGAUCAUAUUAAUUAAAAGCAGAUAAGAACCUGCCACGUUAUGAAAGGGUAUCUACCUCCUUAGGCAAUUUAUUUUCUAUGCACUUUGACCGCAACAACUAUUUUACGACAUGACCUUAUUUGCUACGCGGUGGACAUGACGAAUCUUCUCAAGUG
Long non-coding RNA from Maniola jurtina (meadow brown), 156 nucleotides. RefSeq lists it as uncharacterized. The record is from RefSeq and is a predicted model, not a curated record. NCBI's taxonomy places the organism in Eukaryota, Metazoa, Arthropoda, Insecta, Lepidoptera, Nymphalidae. The transcript is spliced from 3 exons.